This 600-nucleotide ribosomal RNA is filed under the name uncultured Alphaproteobacteria bacterium. RNAcentral's name for it is "bacterial SSU rRNA". It matches the Rfam family "Bacterial small subunit ribosomal RNA", at positions 92 to 727 of the family's 1533-position model. The record is from RNAcentral. Lineage: Bacteria; Pseudomonadati; Pseudomonadota; Alphaproteobacteria.
ACAGCGGCGGACGGGUUAGUAACGCGUGGGAACGUGCCCUUUAGUACGGAAUACCCAUUGGAAACGAUGAUUAAUACCGUAUACGCCCUAUGGGGGAAAGAUUUAUCGCUAAAGGAUCGGCCCGCGUUAGAUUAGGUUGUUGGUGGGGUAAUGGCCUACCAAGCCUACGAUCUAUAGCUGGUUUGAGAGGAUGAUCAGCAACACUGGGACUGAGACACGGCCCACACUUCUACGGAAAGCAGCAGUAGGGAAUCUUGGACAAUGGGCGAAAGCCUGAUCCAGCCAUGCCGCGUGAGUGAUGAAGGCCCUAGGGUUGUAAAACUCUUUCGCCAGGGAAGAUAAUGACGGUACCUGGUAAAGAAACCCCGGCUAACUCCGUGCCAGCAGCCGCGGUAAUACAGAGGGGGUUAGCGUUGUUCGGAAUUACUGGGCGUAAAGCGCACGUAGGCGGACUAGUCAGUCAGAGGUGAAAUCCCGAGGCUCAACCUCGGAACUGCCUUUGAUACUGCUAGUCUAUAGUUCGAGAGAGGUGAGUGGAAUUCCGAGUGUAGAGGUGAAAUUCGUAGAUAUUCAGAGGAACACCAGUGGCGGAGGCGGCUC